GUCCGGGUGGCGGAAUGGUAGACGCGCUAGCUUGAGGUGUUAGUCCUCGCAAGGGGGUGGGGGUUCGAGUCCCCCCUCGGACA
Molecule: transfer RNA, 83 nt
Filed under: Rhodoluna sp.
Lineage: Bacteria; Bacillati; Actinomycetota; Actinomycetes; Micrococcales; Microbacteriaceae
Also listed under: 1 other name
Description: tRNA-Leu
Rfam family: tRNA
About the family: Transfer RNA (tRNA) molecules are approximately 80 nucleotides in length. Their secondary structure includes four short double-helical elements and three loops (D, anti-codon, and T loops).
Source: RNAcentral